CAGCGCCACGAGUGGUAGGGAUGAUUAUUUGGCCUAAAGCGUCCGUAGCCGGCCGGAUAAGUCUCCCGUUAAAUCCAGCGUCUCAAGCGUUGGACUGCGGGAGAUACUGUCUGGCUAGAGAGUGGGAGAGGUCUGCGGUAUUCUGGGGGUAGGGGCGAAAUCCUUUGAUCCCCGGAGGACCACCAGUGGCGAAGGCUGCAGACUAGAACACGUCUGACGGUCAGGGACGAAAGCUGGGGUAGCGAACCGGAUUAGAUACCCGAGUAGUCC
RNAcentral lists this ribosomal RNA (270 nucleotides) under uncultured archaeon. Its description in RNAcentral is "partial 16S ribosomal RNA". It matches the Rfam family "Archaeal small subunit ribosomal RNA", at positions 477 to 747 of the family's 1478-position model. The record is from RNAcentral.